This 1081-nucleotide ribosomal RNA is filed under the name uncultured phototrophic eukaryote. RNAcentral describes it as "bacterial SSU rRNA". It matches the Rfam family "Bacterial small subunit ribosomal RNA", at positions 52 to 1184 of the family's 1533-position model. The record is from RNAcentral.
UACAUGCAAGUCGAACGAAAUAUUUAGCACUUGUGUUAAAUAAUUUAGUGGCGAACGGGUGAGUAACACGUAAGAACUUACCCCUAGACGAGGUACAACAGUUGGAAACGACUGCUAAUACCUCAUAUUACCGGAAGGUGAAAGAAGCAAUUCGUCUAGGGCGAGGCUUGCGUCUGAUUAGCUUGUUGGUGAGGUAAAGGCUUACCAAGGCGACGAUCAGUAGUUGGUCUUAGAGGAUGAUCAGCCACAUUGGGACUGAGACACGGCCCAAACUUUUACGGGAGGCAGCAGUAAGGAAUUUUCCGCAAUGGGCGCAAGCCUGACGGAGCAAUACCGCGUGAAGGAUGACGGCCCAUGGGUUGUAAACUUCUUUUCUUGGAGAAGAAUUCUGACGGUAUCCAAGGAAUAAGCAUCGGCUAACUCCGUGCCAGCAGCCGCGGUAAGACGGGGGAUGCAAGCGUUAUUCGGAAUUAUUGGGCGUAAAGCGUCUGUAGGUGGUAAGGAAAGUGUAAUGUUAAAGAUCAGGGCUCAACCCUGGGAAAGCAUUGCAAACUAUCUUACUUGAGUUCGGUAGGGGCAGAGAGAAUUCCCAGUGUAGCGGUGAAAUGCGUAGAUAUUGGGAGGAAGACCGGUGGCGAAGGCGUUCUGCUGGGCCGUAACUGACACUCAGAGACGAAAGCUAAGGUAGCAAAUAGGAUUAGAUACCCUAGUAGUCUUAGCUGUAAACGAUGCACACUAUGUUUUGCAAUUUGCAGAGCAAUAGCUAACGCGUUAAGUGUGCCGCCUGGGGAGUACAUUCGCAAGGAUGAAACUCAAAGGAAUUGACGGGGACCCGCACAAGCGGUGGAGCAUGUGGUUUAAUUCGAUGCAACGCGAAGAAUCUUACCAAGAAUUGACAUGCUGCGAACGUUUACGAAAGUAAAAAGUCUAUUACUUAGUUAAUAGCGCAGACACAGGUGGUGCAUGUUGUCGUCAGCUCGUGCCGUGAGUGUUAGGUUAAGUCCUGCAACGAGCGCAACCCUUGUCUUUAGUAUAUUCUAGAGAGACUGCCGGUGAUAACCGGAGGAAGGUGAGGAUGACG